CUUACAAACAUCACCACCACCACUCUACCUAAAUCAGGAAGCACGGAGACGUGGUUCUCCCUUUUCUGUUAUUGUCCUUUCUUUUGCUCCAACGGAUACACUUUUUCUGCGACCACAGCAUCAGCGAGCCAUACAGUAGAGGGGGAAAGGCGUUAUUAUUGUUGAUGGUGUGGACGAGCCGCGUCCAGCUGAAGGAGACACCGCUCACAUCCAGCUCAUCGCUCAGCUGUGGAUGAACUGGUCACAGACCGACCGGAGAACAAGGUCUGUUUGAAUUACAGAGCGCAUCCCUGGUGUUCAACGCAAGCAAGUACAGCUCUUUAAUGGUAGGCUCUGUCAGCAGCAUGGGACAGCAUCUAGGAAAGAAAGAGUCAUCCCCAGAAAGCAAGGCUUUGUCACCUGAACCCAAACCAGAAGCAGCGACAGAAGCAGAGGCAGAAGCAGAAGCAGAACCCAUGGCAGCGGCAGAGCCCGAACCCCAAGAUGAAGUUUUCGGCCAGGGCGAGGCAGAUGCGGAGCAGAACAAUAGCCGCGUCUCGGAGAAGCCGGCGGUGACUGACUCCACGGGCGCUGAGGGCCCCCGCCAGCCCUGGCCCCCGGCCAGCAGCGCUGACCCCGACGCCGCCACGCCACGCCCCCACCUGGCCCGCCUCUUCUCCCGAGAUGCCCCGGGCCGGGAGGACAACACCUUCAAAGAGCGACCCUCCGAGUCGGACGAGCUACAGACCAUCCAGGAGCACAGCGGAGCCGGUUCAGACUGUGGGUCGGAGAGCCCCGAACAGGACCUAGAAUAGGCUAGCUUUUUAUUUUGCCUUCCCCAUCGCUUUUCCUUUCUCUUUUUCCUCCUCUACUCUUUUAUUCUCUCAUCCAAGAGAGACGAAGACCCCCUUCGUUUGUUCACUUAAAGCAAGUUAAACCGCUCCUGCAAGCAUGGCAUCCUCAAGCAGCUCCGCACAGGCCGCCUUCGGGCUGGGCCGCAGGAAGAAGGCCCCCGGGCUCCUGGAUCAGAUCGGAAAAUUCUUCGGCGGGGACAAGAAAAGGAAGGGCAAGGGUUCCCAGAAGUCAAGCAAGAAGGCCAGUGCUGGGGACGGCAAAGGCUCCCUGACUAGGAUCUUCAAAAUGUGAUGAUAUCAGCAGCAGAGGAAGCAGGAGUGCUUCUCCAGCCAAACGCUGAAGUCUCCAACCUCUCCAACCCCUUCCACCAACAAGAGGGCAGAUGUUCAUGAGCGCAGGGGGGAAAAAAGAGGAAGAAAAAGAGGAAAUCUCGUCAACCCUACACACUGACCUCCUCAACCGCCUUCGAUAACAACCUAAUGUUUGCUAAAUCCCUCUUCUUCCCUAUUACUGCCCCCCCUCCCCCCACUCCUAUGGCUGAUAGAUAGCGACACAAUCUGCCCAUCCCCCCCCGCCAGCGUUAUGCUUACUGUGCAGUCGUCAUUGCCGGGUGUGAACUGUUUGCUGAAGUUGUUCCUGAAGCCGCUCACAUGUGCAGCCUGAAUGACCUCCUCCCCCACCCCGCCGUGGCUCUCUCUACGUACCGCUUGAGUUUCUGUAGUUGUCCUUGGUACUUUCCUAACAAACGAAGGCUAAGCUGAAGCCGAUCUGGAGCAGGUUGAAGGUAAAGGCCGGUGCAAAAGUUCAGCUGACUUCACCGUUAUGGCCACGUGCCGCCGGGUGAAAAGACCGGGUCGCUUCUGUUUUAGAAACAGACUGUUUUCUGUAUUGUCUCAUUGUCUACGUCAGGCCCUUCUGUUCCCUCAAACACACACUUGUGUUUGAGUAUUGUUCUGUGAUGAAUUUAACAUGUGUGACAUGACUGUGAGAGCCAUUUUUUGUUCCGUGUCUUCAUUCACCUCAUGUGUUGUAGCUGUAGCCAAGUGUCUUGUCAUGAAUGUGAUAUUGAUCUAUGUUUGUUAUCAUCUGAUUUAAGGGUGGCUGUGACUUUUUCUGCUAGAAAAAAGAGAUGCAUUUCUUUUUUUAGUCCAUUUGAUAAUAACAUGACUACUUGACCUUUAUACAUGUAACGACAUCUUUUCAUAGUGCAGUUUUCUCUCAUUAAGUCUGUCCCGGUGCCGCAGCAUCGUGACGGAUUCGUCCGUGCUUCAGUGUAGUCUGCAGCAGGUCUCUUCACUGUCUUCAUUGUUUCUAUUGCAUGCAUAGCACGCAGUCUGUAACUUAAAUCUCAAAAUGCCUUCACUCUGCAAGUGCCUUGCCUUGCCUGCCAAAAACCAUGUGCUGUCUUUCCCUUCUGAUGUACAAUAAAAAGAAAAUACACAAUUUCAAAAAGGUGCUCCGUGACUAACUCUGUAAUGAUGCACUAUAAAGUCUUAAGAAUGUGCACAUUUUUGUUAAAGGGAAUAAAAUGAAAUAAAAUGUCAGUUGUAGUUGAGCUUAGCCCCACCAGUCGUGCUGUGACACACACACCUUCCCAAAGCAGGUGUGUGUGACGUCUCGCCUUCAUCCUUCCUACUGUCUGCGUGUGCUUGAGCCUUGUGAGUGCUGUGAAGUGUGUUUGUUUUGCUGAUUGGAUUCUGGGAAUGACUGAAAGCAACCUCCUCAUUAUUAUUGUAUGUGUAAUAAAACAUGACCUGCCACUUAACUGAGAAUAAAAAAAUAAAAAUAUAUAUAUUAUAAACCAAG
RNA transcript from Cololabis saira (Pacific saury), 2640 nucleotides. It is a transcript of the gene named myelin basic protein b, with no coding region annotated. Lineage: Eukaryota; Metazoa; Chordata; Actinopteri; Beloniformes; Belonidae. The record is from RefSeq and is a predicted model, not a curated record. The transcript is spliced from 8 exons.